This 440-nucleotide ribosomal RNA is filed under the name uncultured bacterium. Its description in RNAcentral is "partial 16S ribosomal RNA". It matches the Rfam family "Bacterial small subunit ribosomal RNA", at positions 338 to 795 of the family's 1533-position model. The record is from RNAcentral.
CCUACGGGUGGCAGCAGUGGGGGAUCUUGCACAAUGGGGGAAACCCUGAUGCAGCGACGCCGCGUGAGUGAAGAAGUAUUUCGGUAUGUAAAGCUCUAUCAGCAGGGAAGAAAAUGACGGUACCUGACUAAGAAGCCCUGGCUAAAUACGUGCCAGCAGCCGCGGUAAUACGUAGGGGGCAAGCGUUAUCCGGAUCUACUGGGUGUAAAGGGAGCGUAGACGGUGAGGCAAGGCAGAAGGGAAAGCCCGGGGCUAAACUCCGGGACUGCUUUGGAAACUGUGUGACUGGAGUGCAGAAGAGGUAAGCGGAAUUCCUGGUGUAGCGGUGAAAUGCGUAGAGAUCAGGAGGAACACCAGUGGCGAAGGCGGCUUACUGGACUGUAACUGACGUUGAGGCUCGAAAGCGUGGGGAGCAAACAGGAUUAGAUACCCGAGUAGUC